Long non-coding RNA from Trachemys scripta elegans, 608 nucleotides. RefSeq lists it as uncharacterized. Lineage: Eukaryota; Metazoa; Chordata; Testudines; Emydidae. The transcript has 5 exons. The record is from RefSeq and is a predicted model, not a curated record.
CAUUUUGCAGAUGGGUAUUAAAAGUGAAUUGCAAGAGAGAUUCAACAGUCAUUCAACUAAUUUCAACAGUCAAAAUUCUUCCUCUUGUCAUGGAAAAUGACUAAACCUGUUACUGAUGGCACAAAAACACAGGAGCAGUUUCAACAGGUAUUAAACCUCCCAUAAGAAUUCAGUCUGCUUCCUACAGGACACUUUGCCAGGCAGUCUUGCUAAUGACAUUGAUCUAUAAGCAUUCAAGAUGACUUUCUUCCAGUGCCAGUGACUCAGAAGCAGGCAAAACUUCAGUGUGCCGACGCCAGAACAGAGGCUCUCAGCUGGAGUGUGAGAUGUUGGACUUUCUGGGGCAGUAAAGCAAACCUACUGAUGGUUCAGUGCAGGGCCGGCUCCAGCUUUUUUGCCACCCCAAGCGGUGAAGAGAAAAAAAAAACUGAUUGAGCUGCUGCCGAAGUGCCUUAGAGGAAGACACGGAGAAAAGAACCCGCCGCUGAACACUAAAGCGGAGCACCGCCCUGAUAACACUGGUCUACAAUUUUUGAGAAGUCGUCUGCUUCAGAGAUAAAAUGUGCUAUUUAUUAUGUAUUUUGAUGUGCUGAAUUCAGAUAUGACAA